RNAcentral lists this long non-coding RNA (267 nucleotides) under Castor canadensis (American beaver). RNAcentral's name for it is "lncRNA (ENSCCNG00000013904.1)". The record is from RNAcentral. Lineage: Eukaryota; Metazoa; Chordata; Mammalia; Rodentia; Castoridae.
AGACUGAUGCAGGAAACUUGCUCACUCCACAUCUGCAUCUACCCCCAUUGCCUUGAUCUGUGCAUCCCAGAUGUUCUGCAGGACUGGGAACUGUACAGGACAACACACCAAAGGUCCAGCAGAAAUUCCUUGUGCUAACGCUGGCCCAGAGAACUCCUUGUUAAUACUGUAGCACAAACUAUGUAUCUAUCCAUGCAAGUGUGACAAGAAAGAGACUAGAGCAGCAAAACAAAAUAAAGUUUUAAAUGCUAUGAUAGCUGAAAAACA